Molecule: ribosomal RNA, 610 nt
Filed under: uncultured eukaryote
Lineage: Eukaryota
Description: SSU rRNA
Rfam family: Eukaryotic small subunit ribosomal RNA
Source: RNAcentral
UUAAAAAGCUCGUAGUUGGAGUUCUGCCAGGUGACGCUCGUCCGCCCAAGUGGUGUGUACAGGGCGUGCAUCUGGCCCCUUCAAGGGGAACGUGUUGCACUUUAUUGUGUGGCGCGAGAUCCUUGACUUUUACUUUGAGGAAAUAAGAGUGUUCCAAGCAGGCUCUCGUCGUGCAUAGCUCAGCAUGGAAUAAUAGCAUUGGACUUCGUUUCUACGCUGUUGGUUGCAAGAAGCGAGGUAAUGAUGAAGAGGGAUAGUUGGGGGCAUUCGUAUUUAACUGUCAAAGGUGAAAUUCUUGGAUUUGUUAAAGACGGACUACUGCGAAAGCAUCUGCCAUGGAUGUUUUCAUUGAUCAAGAACGAAAGUUAGGGGAUCGAAAACGAUCAGAUACCGUCCUAUUCUUAACUAUAAACCAUGCCGGCUAAAGAUCGGAGGUCGUUCAAUUUGUGACACCUUCAGCAUCUUGAGAGAAAUCAAAGCCUUUGGGUUCCGGGGGGAGUAUGGUCGCAAGGCUGAAACUUAAAGGAAUUGACGGAAGGGCACCACCAGGAGUGGAGCCUGCGGCUUAAUUUGACUCAACACGGGGAAACUUACCAGGUCCGGACUUAGU